RNAcentral lists this ribosomal RNA (469 nucleotides) under uncultured bacterium. RNAcentral's name for it is "bacterial SSU rRNA". It matches the Rfam family "Bacterial small subunit ribosomal RNA", at positions 335 to 795 of the family's 1533-position model. The record is from RNAcentral.
ACUCCUACGGGAGGCAGCAGUGGGGAAUUUUGCGCAAUGGGCGAAAGCCUGACGCAGCGACGCCGCGUGAGGGAAGAAGGUUUUCGGAUCGUAAACCUCUGUCGGGGGGGAAGAAACUAUCGGCGACCAAUACUCGCCGGUAUUGACGGUACCCCCUAAGGAAGCAUCGGCUAACUACGUGCCAGCAGCCGCGGUAAUACGUAGGAUGCAAGCGUUGUUCGGAAUUAUUGGGUGUAAAGGGCGCGUAGGUGGCCCUGUAAGUCAUGGGUGAAAUCCCUCGGCUUAACCGAGGAAUUGCCUAUGAUACUGCAGGGCUUGAGUACGGGAGAGGGAAGUGGAAUUCCUGGUGUAGCGGUGAAAUGCGUAGAUAUCAGGAGGAACACCGGUGGCGAAGGCGGCUUCCUGGACCGAUACUGACACUGAGGCGCGAAAGCGUGGGUAGCAAACAGGAUUAGAUACCCUGGUAGUC